RNAcentral lists this transfer RNA (57 nucleotides) under Corynebacterium pyruviciproducens. Its description in RNAcentral is "tRNA-OTHER". It matches the Rfam family "tRNA". Rfam says of the family: Transfer RNA (tRNA) molecules are approximately 80 nucleotides in length. Lineage: Bacteria; Bacillati; Actinomycetota; Actinomycetes; Mycobacteriales; Corynebacteriaceae. The record is from RNAcentral. RNAcentral also lists the same sequence under 2 other names.
GUGGAUAUAGCUCAGUGGCAGAGCAUGAGGGCGCAGGUUCGAUUCCUGCUAUCCGCA